Molecule: long non-coding RNA, 1491 nt
Organism: Tachysurus fulvidraco (yellow catfish)
Lineage: Eukaryota; Metazoa; Chordata; Actinopteri; Siluriformes; Bagridae
Exons: 2
Source: RefSeq, a predicted model, not a curated record
AUUUUAAAAUGACCCAAAUGCCUGCAUGUAGUCAGAAGGAACACUACAAUAUAUACUAAAUUCCUAAUUACUUAACAAAUGAUGACUAAAUGUUUGAAAUGAACAACUGGCCCAAGCACCUAAUGGUAACAAGUGCUGCCUCAAACAAAACAUGCCAGUAACACUUUUUAAAAAAAUCAUCUUUAAGACUUCAUAAAGUGGUUAUACAUUGCUGUCAUUAUGUAACCAGCUGUUAAUAUUACUGGUUUCGUUUUAACUUCAUAGAACACAGUGUACUCGGUGCUCUUUAAUACUUCUAAAAUAAUAGCAAAGAUAUCAGUAUUUCAAAAUACAGAUGAGCUGUCAUUAACAGACAUGCACUUGAGAUAAAGUUAUGUAAGAUCUUAAAGUACAAUUUGUGAAUUUCUUUUUAAAAAGAUAAACUGAUAAUUUUAAAGAAGCAGAUUGUAAUACAGUCCUCUACUCUCUGUGAGGUCAAUUGUGAUUGUAAUGUCUGACAAACAAUAGAGGGGUAUGCAAAGAAUAAACAGAAGAAACUAUUCAGGUCCAUGGGAUGAUGUUUUGCAAAUCACAAUAUAAAUGGUGUAUGCCUCAGCUGACUUUUAUAAAGGAAGUGUAGCUUUAAGUUAUUGCCCCUAAACUGUUUAUAAAACCUGAGAAGUUUAAGUUUAUUGGGUAGAUUUCUCUUUUUUCCCAUAUUUUAUUCUAUAGAAGUCAAACAUCCAAUUGUGCAACAACUGCACUUGUGUAGUAACUAUGCUUGCUGGGCAGUUAUAGAGGGAGUAUAAACUGUUGGCAGUGUUGGUGACAUGCUUGUUGAUUGGUGACCCUUAACCAACUUUUUGGAACAGGCGAAGGUCCACAGAUCAGAUAGCCUCACAUUGGGUAGACACAGGUACACAGCAUUAAUCUGAACACACCAGAACUGUAUUGUAGCACUGCCACAUAUUGUUGCAUAUUAUACUUGCAUGUGUGUAUAAAUAAAUAGUGAUUGGCUCAUUUUACUUGAUUUUGUCUGAACACUCCCAAUGCCCAAGUGAUCUGUCUAGUGUUUGCAUUAUCGCAAAAAUCAGUGGGGUCACCAGGUCAUGCCACAUGACAUGCUGAUGAGGCUGCUUGUGAACAUAAAGACAGAGACAUUGUAAAAGAGCAUGUUCAGCUGUUUAUGUCAAAAUGCUUGGAGGAUUAGCGUCAUGCUUAACUGAGCUUGUUACCACUGAAGAUACCACUGAAGAUUAGAAAUCUGGAAAUAUUUUGCCCUUUUACUUUUUGGUUCAUAUACAGAUUUGUUAGUGGAAUUAUUCAACCCAACCUGUAAGUUACCAUUUACAAUAGGAAUGAUAUUCUGGUGAGGACGAUUCCUCAAUACUGUAAUUCUUGUACAUGUUUUACCAGAGUGGACUUUCCACAGCAAGAGAGACUCGAGGUGCACAGGUUUAUUGUAAAUAUUUGGUGGCACCUCUUUUGUAUAAUGUACUACAGACUGUUGAA